This 500-nucleotide ribosomal RNA is filed under the name Salmonella enterica subsp. enterica serovar Enteritidis. RNAcentral describes it as "partial 23S ribosomal RNA". It matches the Rfam family "Bacterial large subunit ribosomal RNA", at positions 741 to 1239 of the family's 2925-position model. The record is from RNAcentral. Lineage: Bacteria; Pseudomonadati; Pseudomonadota; Gammaproteobacteria; Enterobacterales; Enterobacteriaceae.
CAGGUUGAAGGUUGGGUAACACUAACUGGAGGACCGAACCGACUAAUGUUGAAAAAUUAGCGGAUGACCUGUGGCUGGGGGUGAAAGGCCAAUCAAACCGGGAGAUAGCUGGUUCUCCCCGAAAGCUAUUUAGGUAGCGCCUCGUGAAUUCAUCUCCGGGGGUAGAGCACUGUUUCGGCUAGGGGGCCAUCCCGGCUUACCAACCCGAUGCAAACUGCGAAUACCGGAGAAUGUUAUCACGGGAGACACACGGCGGGUGCUAACGUCCGUCGUGAAGAGGGAAACAACCCAGACCGCCAGCUAAGGUCCCAAAGUCAUGGUUAAGUGGGAAACGAUGUGGGAAGGCCCAGACAGCCAGGAUGUUGGCUUAGAAGCAGCCAUCAUUUAAAGAAAGCGUAAUAGCUCACUGGUCGAGUCGGCCUGCGCGGAAGAUGUAACGGGGCUAAACCAUGCACCGAAGCUGCGGCAGCGACACUGUGUGUUGUUGGGUAGGGGAGCGU